RNAcentral lists this long non-coding RNA (938 nucleotides) under Olea europaea (common olive). Its description in RNAcentral is "long non-coding RNA (OEUR_LNC015122)". Lineage: Eukaryota; Viridiplantae; Streptophyta; Magnoliopsida; Lamiales; Oleaceae. The record is from RNAcentral.
UAAAGUAAAUGGAAAUAUUAUUCAUUUAACGUACCUGUCUAAUUGUUAUUUAGGGGAAUUUGACUGGUACAAAAUUGCUGUGUAUGCUCUAUGGCUCUGCAUUUGCCACACCUACGCGAUCGAGGAAACACUCUGGUAGAUAGUAUUCUAGAUGUAUUUGAACGUCCAGGACCACGCGGUUCAAUUGCUGAUGGCAACAAAUUAUGAAAUAGGAGAAUGUGCUCGGGAACUUCCCACUCAGCUUCAUUCGGCAGAGGAAAUAUAGUCUCAACAUAUAUUGUUCUCCAAGACUCAGUCGUAUAAUACAAAGAGCAUGACAUUCUCGCUGCAAAGCCUCGAUACAUGGCCACCGCAACUGCAUGCUCACAUGAAAACUCUCCAACUGAAAUCUCUCACAAGUGCAUGUCAUCUAGUGCUUCCACAUUCAACUUCCUCACAACCUCUGCCACCUUAAAGAGUUUAUCCUCUUGAGCUGGGGUCAAUACGCUAGUGCAACUCUGUGAUGCGCACGUCGGUCAUGAAACCAUUGUUGCAGCUUGUUAUAAAUGUUCUCAAUCAUUGUGAGAAUUAGUAACUCUCGAUCCUUCUUAAACAAUGCAUUGAGAGACGCCGCGUUAUUCGAUGUCAUCAUGUUGUAUCGACGUCUUGGAAAGUAUGACGACGCCUAAUGUUCGAUCCCCAUGUUCGUCAGAUACUCCAAUGCCGGUAAUGAUUUACUUCCUAUCUCGAACAUGAACUUAUUACGCUCUUCAGCACUGUAAGCUUCGGCUGCUCCCCUGAACAAUGAAACGAUACUUUUGCCCCAAUACCUAGUCUUCAAAUUACCUUGUAUAUGGUACAUGCAAUAUCCAUGAUGUGCCUUGGGAAAAACUUCAGUGAUACCGUUUAAUAUAGAUUGUCCCCGAUCGGUUACAAAUGGUAAGGGACUUCUCCGAUCA